This 6364-nucleotide long non-coding RNA is filed under the name Sus scrofa (pig). RNAcentral's name for it is "lncRNA (ENSSSCG00035021044.1)". Lineage: Eukaryota; Metazoa; Chordata; Mammalia; Artiodactyla; Suidae. The record is from RNAcentral.
CCUCUCGCCCGCCUUCUCUGGGGCUUGCUUCUUCACCAGGCAUCCGUCGAGCCUUUUCCAUGUCCCCGGUGGACGCAGCCCUUCGCAACGUCCACUCCCAUGGCCGCUAGCCUGAGGAGGCCGUCUUUCACCGCCUGUUCUUCCUCCCCUCCGGACGCGGACGACGAGGGUGUGCGCGGCUCUUGCGGAGAUGCUUCUGUGUGCAAGCGAUGUGCAGUGAGCAGUGGCUACUGGCAGGACCCUUGCAUCCCGCAUUUGGUGAGACUGUCUAAAGAGAGGAAGGCCCCCAAAAUUAACAGAGGAUGAGGAUCUUCUAUCAAGUACAUCUUGGAAAGUCGAUGUUUCAGGGAUCGUCAUGAGGAAGCUGCACAGCAUCAAGUAAGUGCGGCUUUGGCCGGAAGCCAGAGCCCAGUGGCAUCAGAACCAGCUCCUGGCAGACGGCAGGGCUGACUGCCGGAGACCUCACUGUAGGCACUGCCUUCCUUUCCUGGCCUCCUCCCUCUCUCCCUGGCCCUGGACCCUCACUGCAGUGUGUCCUGCAGUCUUCAAAAUGAAAUAGACCCUCUCCUGUGACCUUUCUGUCCAAGAAUGUGAUUUCUCUAACAUUGAAACAAAUGAUCUAUUGUCGUUUAGUGAUCUGAAUUUUCAUGUGUAUUUGGCUUAUGUCUUCACCCCCAGGAUACAGAAAAGUGCCUGGCUCAGACUAGAUGUGUUGUAAAUAUUUUUGAAUGAACCCAUGGGGGGCUGAGCUGAAUCAGUGAUCAUAUCUGAGAUAUUGGGGGGAUUUGCAUUCUGAGUCUAGUCUUCAUGGAAUUUGUCAAGCUCUAAGUGAUGAGGUUGCUGCUCUUUGCCAAGAGCUUUCCUUUGCCAAGUCCCAUGGUACAUGCCUCAUUUGCAUUGUUUCAUUCAGUCCUCGGAGGCCACUCCUGGAUGAAGUGCUGUCAUUAGCCCCUUUUGACAGAUGAGAAACCUUAGGCUCAAAGAAGUGCAGUGAAUUUGCCUCCGGUCACCUGGCUAGAAAGAGGAUGGAGCAGGGAUUUAAACGCUGACCUCCAGACCAAGGUUAAGGUAUCCCAAUGGUUUUAACCUACAGUCCCUCCCUCCUUUUUAUAUUAGUCAUGUCAAUCAAGUCCUAAUUCUUAUAUUUCACAAAAAUUUUUAUUUAUUUAUUUUUCUGCUGUACAGCAUGGGGGACAAGAUACACUUACAUGAAUGUUUUUUUUCUCCACCCUUUGUUAUGUUACAAUAUGAGUAUCUAGACAUAGUUCUCAUGCUACUCAGCAGGAUCUCAUUGUAAAUCCAUUCCAAGUUGUAUCUGAUAACCCCAAGCUCCCGAUCCCUCCCACUCCCUCCCUCACCCCCCGGGCUGCCACAAGUCUAUUCUCCAGGUCCAUGAUUUUCUUUUCUGUGGAAAUGUUCAUUUCUGCUGUAUAUUAGAUUCCAGUUACAAGUGAAAUCAUAUAAUAUUUGUCUUUGUCUUUAUGGCUCAUUUCACUCAGUAUGAGAGUCUCUAGUUCCACCCAUGUUGCUAUAAAUGGUAUUAUGUCAAUCUUUUUUAUGGCUGAGUAGCAUUCCAUUGUGUAUAUAUACCACAUCUUCCUAAUCCAAUCAUCUGUCAAUGGACAUUGGGUUGUUUCCAUGUCCUGGCUAUUGUGAAUAGUGCUGCAAUGAACAUGCGGGUGCAUGUGUCUCUUUUAAGUAGAGUUUUGUCUGGAUGUAUGCUCAAGAGUGGGAUUGAAGGAUCAUAUGGAAGUUCUAUGUAUACAUUUCUAAGGUGUCUCCAAACUGUUCUCCAUAGUGACUGUACCAGUUUAUAUCCCCACCAGCAGUGCAGGAGGGUUCCCUUUUCUGCACAACCCCUCUAGCACUUGUUAUUUGUGGACUUAUUAAUGAUGGCCAUUCUGACUGGUGUGAGGUGGUAUCUCAUGGUAGUUUUGAUUUGCAUUUCUCUUAUAAUCAGAGAUGUUGAACAUUUUUGCAUGUGCUUGUUGGCCAUCUGUAUAUCUUCCUUGGAGAAAUGUCUAUUCAGCUCUUUUGCCCAUUUUUUCCAUUGUGUGAUUGGCUUUUUUGCUGUUGAGUUGUAUAAGUUGCUUGUAUAUUCUAGAGAUUAAGCCCUUGUCCAUUGCAUCAUUUGAAACUAUUUUCUCCCAUUCUGUAAGUUGUCUUUUUGUUUUCUUUUGGGUUUCCUUUGCUGUGCAAAAGCUUUUCAGUUUGAUGAGGUCCCAUGGGUUUAUUUUUGCUCUAAUUUCUAUUGCUUUGGGAGACUGACCUGAGAAAAUAUUCAUGAUGUUGAUGUCAGAGAGUGUUUUGCCUAUGUUUUCUUCUAGGAGUUUGAUGGUGUCCUGUCGUAUAUUUAAGUCUUUCAGCCAUUUGGAGUUUAUUUUUGUGCAUGGUGUGAGGGUGUGUUCUAGUUUCAUUGCUUUGCAUGCAGCUGUCCAGGUUUCCCAGCAAUGCUUGCUGAAUAGACUUUCUUUUUCCCAUUUUAUGUUCUUGCCUCCCUUGUCAAAGAUUAAUUGACCAUAGGUGUCAGGGUUUAUUUCCGGAUUCUCUAUUCUGUUCCAUUGGUCUGUCUGUCUGUUUUGAUACCAGUACCACACUGUUUUGAUGACUGUGGCUUUGUAGUAUUUCUUGAAGUCUGGGAGAGUUAUGCCUCCUGCUUGGUUUUUGUUUCUCAGGAUUGCUUUGGCGAUUCUGGGUCUUUUGUGGUUCCAUAUAAAUGUUUGGAUUGUUUGUUCUAGUUCUGUGAAAAAUGUCAUGGGUAAUUUGAUAGGGAUUGCAUUGAAUCUGUAGAUUGCUUUGGGUAGUAUGGCCAUUUUUACAAUAUUGAUUUUCCCAAUCCAGGAACAUGGAAUAUCUUUCCAUUUCUUUACAUCUUCUUUGAUUUCUUUGAUUAAAGUUUUAUAGUUCUCGGCAUAUAGGUCCUUUACCUCCUUGGUCAGGUGUAUUCCAAGGUAUUUGAUUUUGUGAGGUGCAAUUUUAAAAGGUAUCGUAUUUUUGUAUUCCUUUUCUAAUAUUUCAUUGCUGGUAUACAGAAAUGUGACUGACUUCUGAAUGUUAAUCUUAUAUCCUGCUACUUUGCUGAAUUUAUUAAUCAGUUCAAGUAGUUUUGGGGUUGAGUCCUUAGGGUUUUCUGUGUUUAGUAUCAUGUCAUCUGCAUACAGUGACAGUUUUCUCUCUUCUCUUCCUCUUUGUAUCCUUUUAUUUCUUUUGUUUGUUUAAUCACUGUGGCUAGGACUUCCAAAACUAUGUUGAACAGCAGUGAUGGGAGUGGGCAUCCCUGUCUUGUUCCAGAUUUGAGUGAGAAGACUUUCAGUUUUUCUCCAUUGAGUAUUAUAUUUGCUGUGGGUUUGUCAUAAAUGGCUUUGAUCAUGUUCAGGAAUGUUCCCUCUAUACCCACUUUGGCAAGAGUCUUGAUCAUGAAUGGAUGUUGGACUUUGUCACAUGCUUUUUCUGCAUCUGUUGAGAUGAUCAUACGAUUUUUGACUUUUUUUUUUGUUAAUGUGGAGUAUGACGUUUAUUGAUUUGGAUAUGUUGACCCAUCCUUGUGAACCUGGGAUGAACCCCACCUGGUCAUUUUGUAUGAUCCUUUUGAUAUGUUGUUGGAUUUGGUUGGCUAAGAUUUUGUUGAGAAUUUUUGCAUCUAUAUUCAUCAAAGAUACUGGCUUCUAGUUUACUUUUUUGGCGGUAUCUUUUUCUGGUUUUGGAACUAGGGUGAUGGUGGCAUCAUAGAAUGUCUUUGGGAGUGUUCUUCUUCAUCCUUUUGAAAAAGGUUAAGGAGGAUGGGCACCAGAUCCUCUUUGUAUCUUUGGUAGAAUUCACCUGUGUAGCCAUCUGGUCCUGGGGUUUUAUUUGUAGGGAGUGUUUUUAUGAUGUAUUCAAUUUCAUUUCUGUUCAGUUGGUCUGUUUCUUCUUGAUUUACUUUUGGAAGGCUAUAAGAUUCUAGAAAGUUGUCCAUUUUUUCCAGAUUGUCAAAUUUGUUGGCAUAUAGUUGUUCAUAGUAUUCUGGUUUUUUUUUGUUUGUUUGUUUGUUUGUUUGUUUUUUGUAUUUCUUCAGUAUCCAUUGUGAUUUCUCCUUUUUCAUUUCCAAUUUUAUUUGGGUUCUUUCUCUCCUUUUCUUAGUGAGUCUACCAGGGGGUUGUCAAUUUUGUUUACCUUUUCAAAGAACCAGCUCUUGGUUUUAUUAACUUUAUUGUUUUUUGAAUCUCUAUUUUAUUGAUUUCCUCUUUGAUCUUUAUAAUUUCCUUCCUUCGGCUGACUUUAGGUCUUUUUUGUUCUUCUUUUUCUAAUUUGUUUAGGUGGAGGGUUAAGUUGUCAAUUUGAGAUCUUCUUUUUUGAGGAAGGCGUGUAUUGCUAUGAAUUUCCCUCUGAGCACUGCUUUUGCAGUGUCCCAUAGAUUUUGAGAGGUUGUGUCUUCAUUAUGAUUUGUCUCCAGGUAUUUUUAAAUUUCCUUCUCGACUCUCUCAUCCACCCAUUGGUUUUUUAGUAGCAUGUUGUUUAGUCCCCAUGUAGUAGGUUUUUUCUCAUUUCUUUUCCUGUGGUUGAUUUCUAGUUUCAUGCCAUUGUGGUCGGAGGAGAUACUUGAAAUAACUUCUGUGCUUCUAAAUUUGUUGAGGUUAGCUUUGUGUCCCAAUAUGUGGUUGACUCUUGAGAAUGUUCCAUGUGCACUUGAGAAGAAUGUGUAUUCUGAUUUUUUUGGAUGUAGUGUCCUGAAGAUGUCAAUUAAGUCUAUCUUUUCUAUUGUUUCCUUUAAGAUUUCUGUUGCUUUUUGGUUUUCUGUCUAGAGGAUCUGUCCAUUGAUGUGAGCAGGGUACUAAAGUCUCCUACUAUGAUUGUAUUCCCAUCAGUUUCUCCCUUUAUGUCUGUUAAUAUUUGUUGUAUGUAUUGGAAACUCUCUAAAUGCUUCUCCUGAGUAGAAGAGAGAAACCAGUUAUAGUUUAUUCAGAUAAUGGAAUACUAUACAGCAAUGAGGUUUUACAAACUUGGUAUGAAACCAGAUUGAUAAAUCUCAAAAAUACAGUGUUGAGUGAAAGAAGUCAAAUACAAAGAAAGCAUAUUCUUCACAAAGCCAUUACCUAAAGUUCCAAGACAGGCAGAACAAAUUUGUGUUGACUGAAUCCAGGAUUGUUGUCUUCCUUGGGAGAUAUUAACUAGUAGGAGACCUAAUUUAGGGUCUUUUGAGGUGUAUUGAUGUUAAUCUUUGCAUCUGUGUUCUGAUGAUGCAAGGGUGGGUUUAUUUUAUGAAAUUUCAACAUGUCCUCAUCUUUUGGAUUGUGCACUUUUGGGAUUGAAUGAGUCUCAACAAAUAUUGAUAGUGGUUAUCUCAUUGCUGGGUUUGCAGAAUUCUUUUCUUCUUAUACUUCAUUUAUUGCUUGAAUCUUACUAUGAGCAUACAUUGUCUUUUCACAAAAUAUAUAUUAUCCAUCUCACAAUUUAUGACAUUGUUUUUCUUGAAGUUUAUCUAUAAAAUCAAGAUGUUGGCUGUUUGCUUGAAGACCCUUCCACAUGUAUUCAAUUAAUCAAAAUUAGGAGUUCUAGUGUACACCCCUAGUGAAUAGAUUGCCAUUAGUUGGUUAAUGUAUCAGCAAUGAUAUAUAGUGUAUGUUUACAGACAUUUUGUCUUUUGAUUUCAGUUAAUGAACACAAAUGAGAAACAAUCAUGGGAGUAUAUAUGGAAAAAUUAAAAGUGAUGCUUUUGUAUAAUGACACUUUCUAUGAAUUGAGGAUAUAAUCUAACUGAUCAUAUAUACUUGCUUCUGAUGUAUGGACAAAAGUAUUUUUCAGUGACAUUGUCUUUACAAUAAGGAAUAUCAAAUAAGUAUUACUUCAUACAAUAAGUGCUUGAAAUAUAGUUGUGAAAAAGUAAGCAGUGGAUGGUAUGGAUAUAUCUAUAAUUUUAACAACAUUCUACAGAAACAACAGUGUGGGCAGGAAACUGCAAAAAAAAUUUUAGAAGAUUCAUGUUGAAACUAGACUAAUAUUUAAACAGUUUUAAAUAAACAAGGAAGUCAACAAACUGUUUAUAGAGUCAAAUAAUAGUUUUGGCUUUGUGGAUCAGUCUAUGUGACAACUAAUAACUUCAAUAUUUGUAGCACAAAAUCAGCCACAGAUGAUACAGAGACAUGUAAACAAAUGCGAAAGUUUGUGUCACAAUAAACUUUAACAAAAGAACAGGUGACAGACAAGAUUUGGUCCACAGGCCCCCGUUUUCAAAUUCCUAAAAUAGAUUACUAUGGGACUUAGAUUCUGAGCUUUUUUGAUUCUGAUAUGAAAGAGUCAUUUAUAUUAUGAAUUUUAAAUUCAUCACACAAUUCUUUUGAAUCUAUGAACCUAUUUAAGUAUUUUCAUUUCAAUAAAAAUUUCCUAA